CAAGGUGCUGACGAGUGGCGAACGGGUGAGUAAUGCAUCGGAACGUGCCCAGUCGUGGGGGAUAACGCAGCGAAAGCUGCGCUAAUACCGCAUACGAUCUGUGGAUGAAAGCGGGGGACCGUAAGGCCUCGCGCGAUUGGAGCGGCCGAUGUCAGAUUAGGUAGUUGGUGGGGUAAAGGCUCACCAAGCCAACGAUCUGUAGCUGGUCUGAGAGGACGACCAGCCACACUGGAACUGAGACACGGUCCAGACUCCUACGGGAGGCAGCAGUGGGGAAUUUUGGACAAUGGGCGCAAGCCUGAUCCAGCAAUGCCGCGUGCAGGAAGAAGGCCUUCGGGUUGUAAACUGCUUUUGUACGGAACGAAACGGCGAGCUCUAAUACAGUUUGCUAAUGACGGUACCGUAAGAAUAAGCACCGGCUAACUACGUGCCAGCAGCCGCGGUAAUACGUAGGGUGCAAGCGUUAAUCGGAAUUACUGGGCGUAAAGCGUGCGCAGGCGGUUUUGUAAGACAGUCGUGAAAUCCCCGGGCUCAACCUGGGAAUUGCGAUUGUGACUGCAAAGCUGGAGUGCGGCAGAGGGGGAUGGAAUUCCGCGUGUAGCAGUGAAAUGCGUAGAUAUGCGGAGGAACACCGAUGGCGAAGGCAAUCCCCUGGGCCUGCACUGACGCUCAUGCACGAAAGCGUGGGGAGCAAACAGGA
Molecule: ribosomal RNA, 700 nt
Filed under: uncultured bacterium
Lineage: Bacteria
Description: bacterial SSU rRNA
Rfam family: Bacterial small subunit ribosomal RNA
Source: RNAcentral